This is a non-coding RNA of Cricetulus griseus (Chinese hamster), 256 nucleotides long. NCBI's taxonomy places the organism in Eukaryota, Metazoa, Chordata, Mammalia, Rodentia, Cricetidae. The record is from RefSeq and is a predicted model, not a curated record.
CCUAGACCCCGGCUUCCUCUCCACCUCACAGUCUCCUAGCCGGGUCCCCUUGCUCACCUCAGGGCACCGCGGCUCAAAGCCCUUGUUUCUCAGUAGGGCUGAGAACCGGUUUCUGAUGCAUCAUCGGAGGACCUCACCCCAGGGUAUGAGACUAAAAUGGACGCUGCAACGAUGUGCAAGACAUUUAAUCCCGGGGCUUCUACCAGCCCAUCGCAAAUGUUCAUGCCGAGGAAAAAUAAAAGACCAGUUACUUACA